AGAAUCAACGCUGGCGGCGUGCCUAACACAUGCAAGUCGCACGAGAAAGCGGACUUCGGUCUGUGAGUAAAGUGGCGCACGGGUGAGUAACACGUGAAUGAUCUACCUCCGAGUGGGGAAUAACUGAGAGAAAUCUUAGCUAAUACCGCAUAACACUUAUGAGUCAAAGCAGCAAUGCGCUUGGAGAGGAGUUCGCGGCAGAUUAGUUAGUUGGCGGGGUAAUGGCCCACCAAGACAAUGAUCUGUAUCCGGCCUGAGAGGGCGCACGGACACACUGGAACUGAAACACGGUCCAGACUCCUACGGGAGGCAGCAGUGGGGAAUUUUGCGCAAUGGGGAAACCCUGACGCAGCAACGCCGCGUGGAGGAUGAAAUCCCUUGGGAUGUAAACUCCUUUCGAUCGGGAAGAUAAUGACGGUACCGAGAGAAGAAGCCCGGCUAACUUCGUGCCAGCAGCCGCGGUAA
RNAcentral lists this ribosomal RNA (465 nucleotides) under uncultured bacterium. Its description in RNAcentral is "SSU rRNA". It matches the Rfam family "Bacterial small subunit ribosomal RNA", at positions 26 to 523 of the family's 1533-position model. The record is from RNAcentral.